GAAUUGCAGUUGAAACUGGCGUGCUUGAGUUCGGUCGAGGCAGGCGGAAUUCGUGGUGUAGCGGUGAAAUGCUUAGAUAUCACGAAGAACCCCGAUUGCGAAGGCAGCUUGCCAGGCCUGGACUGACGUUGGGGCUCGAAGGUGCGGGUAUCGAACAGGAUUAGAUACCCUGGUAGUCCGCACGGUAAACGAUGGAUACUCGCUGUCGGCGAUACACGGUCGGCGGCCAAGCGAAAGCGUUAAGUAUCCCACCUGGGGAGUACGCCGGCAACGGUGAAACUCAAAGGAAUUGACGGGGGCCCGCACAAGCGGAGGAACAUGUGGUUUAAUUCGAUGAUACGCGAGGAACCUUACCCGGGCUUGAACUGUGCCUGACUGCCUCAGAGAUGGGGCUUCCAGCAAUGGCAGGCAUGGAGGUGCUGCAUGGUUGUCGUCAGCUCGUGUCGUGAGGUGUCGGCUUAAGUGCCAUAACGGGCGCAACCCCUCCCGCCAGUUGCCAUCAGGUAAAGCUGGGCACUCUGGGGGCACUGCCACCGCAAGGUGUGAGGAAGGUGGGGAUGACGUCAAAUCAGCACGGCCCUUACGUCCGGGGCUACACACGUGUUACAAUGGGAGGUCACAGAGGGCUGCUACCCGGCGACGGGACGCCAAUCCCCAAACCCUCCCUCAGUACGGACUGGAGUCUGCAACCCGACUCCACGAAGCUGGAUUCGCUAGUAAUCGCGCAUCAGCCACGGCGCGGUGAAUACGUUCCCGGGCCUUGUACACACCGCCCGUCAAGCCAUGAAAGCCGGCGGUGCCUGAAGUGCGUAACCGCAAGGGGCGCCCUAGGGCAAAGCCGGUGAUUGGGGCUAAGUCGUAACAAGGUAACCA
Molecule: ribosomal RNA, 873 nt
Filed under: uncultured bacterium
Lineage: Bacteria
Description: bacterial SSU rRNA
Rfam family: Bacterial small subunit ribosomal RNA
Source: RNAcentral